Molecule: non-coding RNA, 27 nt
Filed under: Bombyx mori (domestic silkworm)
Lineage: Eukaryota; Metazoa; Arthropoda; Insecta; Lepidoptera; Bombycidae
Source: RNAcentral
UGUAGUUGUAGAUCUGCGAUGGAUUUC